Molecule: ribosomal RNA, 473 nt
Filed under: uncultured bacterium
Lineage: Bacteria
Description: partial 16S ribosomal RNA
Rfam family: Bacterial small subunit ribosomal RNA
Source: RNAcentral
ACGAGCGCUGGCGGCGUGCUUAACACAUGCAAGUCGAACGGUAAGGCCCUUCGGGGUACACGAGUGGCGAACGGGUGAGUAACACGUGGGUAAUCUGCCCUGCACAUCGGGAUCAGCCUGGGAAACUGGGUCUAAUACCGAAUAGGACCACAGGACACAUGUCCUGUGGUGGAAAGCUUUUGCGGUGUGGGAUGGGCCCGCGGCCUAUCAGCUUGUUGGUGGGGUGAUGGCCUACCAAGGCGACGACGGGUAGCCGGCCUGAGAGGGUGUCCGGCCACACUGGGACUGAGAUACGGCCCAGACUCCUACGGGAGGCAGCAGUGGGGAAUAUUGCACAAUGGGCGAAAGCCUGAUGCAGCGACGCCGCGUGGGGGAUGACGGCCUUCGGGUUGUAAACCUCUUUCACCAUCGACGAAGGUCCGGGUUUUCUCGGGCUGACGGUAGGUGGAGAAGAAGCACCGGCCAACUACGUG